Molecule: ribosomal RNA, 585 nt
Filed under: uncultured bacterium
Lineage: Bacteria
Description: bacterial SSU rRNA
Rfam family: Bacterial small subunit ribosomal RNA
Source: RNAcentral
CCUACGGGAGUCAGCAGUGGGGAAUUUUGGACAAUGGGCGCAAGCCUGAUCCAGCCAUGCCGCGUGUGGGAAGAAGGCCUUCGGGUUGUAAACCACUUUUGUCAGGGAAGAAACGGCUUUUUCUAAUACAGAGAGCUAAUGACGGUACCUGAAGAAUAAGCACCGGCUAACUACGUGCCAGCAGCCGCGGUAAUACGUAGGGUGCAAGCGUUAAUCGGAAUUACUGGGCGUAAAGCGUGCGCAGGCGGCUUUGCAAGACAGAUGUGAAAUCCCCGGGCUCAACCUGGGAACUGCAUUUGUGACUGCAUGGCUAGAGUACGGUAGAGGGGGAUGGAAUUCCGCGUGUAGCAGUGAAAUGCGUAGAUAUGCGGAGGAACACCGAUGGCGAAGGCAAUCCCCUGGGCCUGUACUGACGCUCAUGCACGAAAGCGUGGGGAGCAAACAGGAUUAGAUACCCUGGUAGUCCACGCCCCAAACGAUGUCAACUGGUUGUUGGACGGCUUGCUGUUCAGUAACGAAGCUAAACGCGUGAAGUUGACCGCCUGGGGAGUACGGCCGCAAGGUUGAAACUCAAAGGAUUGACGG